AACGAACGCUGGCGGCAGGCUUAACACAUGCAAGUCGAACGCUCGUAGCAAUACGGGAGUGGCGGACGGGUGAGUAACGCGUGGGAACGUGCCCUGAGGUACGGAAUAACUGCGGGAAACUGCAGCUAAUACCGUAUGAGCCCCGUGAGGGGGAAAGAUUUAUCGCCUUAGGAGCGGCCCGCGUCGGAUUAGCUAGUUGGUGGGGUAACGGCUUACCAAGGCUUCGAUCGGUAGCUGGUCUGAGAGGAUGAUCAGCCACACUGGGACUGAGACACGGCCCAGACUCCUACGGGAGGCAGCAGUGGGGAAUAUUGGACAAUGGGCGCAAGCCUGAUCCAGCAAUGCCGCGUGUGUGAAGAAGGCCUCGGUUGUAAGCACUUUGUUGGUAAGAAAGAGGCCGGUAAUACCGGUCGUGUUGACGGUACCAACGAAUAAAGACACCGGCUAACUUCGUGCCAGCAGCCGCGGUAACUGUAGUCGUGU
Molecule: ribosomal RNA, 483 nt
Filed under: uncultured bacterium
Lineage: Bacteria
Description: bacterial SSU rRNA
Rfam family: Bacterial small subunit ribosomal RNA
Source: RNAcentral